Molecule: ribosomal RNA, 422 nt
Filed under: uncultured bacterium
Lineage: Bacteria
Description: bacterial SSU rRNA
Rfam family: Bacterial small subunit ribosomal RNA
Source: RNAcentral
GGGAAUUUUGGACAAUGGGCGAAAGCCUGAUCCAGCAAUGCCGCGUGUGUGAAGAAGGCCUUCGGGUUGUAAAGCACUUUUGUCCGGAAAGAAAUCCUCUGGGUUAAUACCUCGGGGGGAUGACGGUACCGGAAGAAUACGCACCGGCUAACUACGUGCCAGCAGCCGCGGUAAUACGUAGGGUGCAAGCGUUAAUCGGACUUACUGGGCGUAAAGCGCGCGCAGGCGGUUUUGUAAGACGGAUGUGAAAUCCCCGGGCUUAACCUGGGAACUGCAUUCGUGACUGCAAGGCUAGAGUAUGGCAGAGGGGGGUAGAAUUGCACAUGUAGCAGUGAAAUGCGUAGAGAUGUGGAGGAAUACCGAUGGCGAAAGCAGCCCCCUGGGCGAAUACUGACGCUCAUGCACGAAAGCGUGGGGAGCAA